AAGGUCACAGGGGCCCUUNGUUUUUGCCACAGAAUACAUUAGCACGGAUAAUUNAAUAGGACCUGACCUCCUAUUUUCAGUGGUUUGUUUAUACAGCGAGGUUCAUCAGGUAAUGAUUAAUAGGGAUAGUGGGGGCAUUAAUAUUUAAUGUCAGAGGUGAAAUUCUGGAUUUAUGAAAGAUUAACUUCUGCGAAAGCGUGCCAAGGAUGUUUCAUUAAUCAAGAACGAAAGUUAGGGGAUCGAAGACGAUCAGAUACCGUCGUAGUCUUAACCAUAAACGAUGCCGACCAGCGAUUAGGAGACGUUGAAUACAAAACACCGCGUGUUAGUCCUUUCGGGGAUUAAUAGUUGGUGAAUGACUCCCCUAGCAGCUUGUGAGAA
Molecule: ribosomal RNA, 381 nt
Filed under: uncultured Acanthamoeba
Lineage: Eukaryota; Discosea; Longamoebia; Acanthamoebidae
Description: bacterial SSU rRNA
Rfam family: Eukaryotic small subunit ribosomal RNA
Source: RNAcentral